GACGAACCGUGCGAACGUUGUUCGGAAUCACUGGGCUUAAAGGGCGCGUAGGCGGGCGGUCAAGUCAGAGGUGAAAUCCCACGGCUCAACCGUGGAAGUGCCCCUGAUACUGACUGUCUCGAGGGAGGUAGGGCGUGCGGAACUUCCGGUGGAGCGGUGAAAUGCGUAGAUAUCGGAAGGAACACCGAUGGCGAAAGCAGCGCGCUGGACCUCUACUGACGCUGAGGCGCGAAAGCGUGGGGAGCGAACAGG
This 252-nucleotide ribosomal RNA is filed under the name uncultured bacterium. Its description in RNAcentral is "partial 16S ribosomal RNA". It matches the Rfam family "Bacterial small subunit ribosomal RNA", at positions 524 to 776 of the family's 1533-position model. The record is from RNAcentral.